GAUGAACGCUGGCGGCGUGCCUAAUACAUGCAAGUCGAACGCAUUGUGGUUGAAAUGAUAUGAAGAACUUGUUCAGAUUUGAUUUUCAACAUUGCAAUGAGUGGCGAACGGGUGAGUAACACGUGGGAAACCUACCUCUUAGCAGGGGAUAACAUUUGGAAACAAAUGCUAAUACCGUAUAAUAAUUAAAACCGCAUGGUUUUAGUUUAAAAGAUGGUCUUGCUAUCACUAAGAGAUGGUCCCGCGGUGUAUUAGUUAGUUGGUGAGGUAAUGGCUCACCAAGACAAUGAUACAUAGCCGAGUUGAGAGACUGACCGGCCACAAUGGGACUGAGACACGGCCCAUACUCCUACGGGAGGCAGCAGUAGGGGAUCUUCCACAAUGGACGAAAGUCUGAUGGAGCAACGCCGCGUGUGUGAUGAAGGGUUUCGGCUCGUAAAACACUGUUGUAAGAGAAGAAUGACAUUGAGAGUAACUGUUCAAUGUGUGACGGUAUCUU
This 499-nucleotide ribosomal RNA is filed under the name uncultured bacterium. RNAcentral's name for it is "bacterial SSU rRNA". It matches the Rfam family "Bacterial small subunit ribosomal RNA", at positions 28 to 481 of the family's 1533-position model. The record is from RNAcentral.